CGUGUAGAGUUGCGGGAGAAACAUGCAAAGGGACUCAGGAGCUGUCCUCCAAGAUGAGCAAUUGUGAUUGAAAUGCCAACUGUUAACUGGAAAGGAUAAUAAUAUCUCUGUGAAGAUGGAUUGGGCCAAGACAUUGACUGGCCCAACAUCCAGACAGCUUGCACACCUAAGUUGGGACUAGAAUUUUCCUUGAAGAGGCUUGUUAGAUACACAGUUUGUACUGAUGUAAACAUGAUUAAAAUCAGAGACCAGAUUUGCAUUAUUAAAGUUGAGAGCUGAAAGAAGAUUUUAGAAGAAUACACUUCUAAGAUGCAUGAAGGUAGGCUUGGACAAAUAUUACUACUAUUCAAUGCACUCAAGACUACUGAAAGUGUCCAUUUUUCCCUUGAAACCCUCUGAAGACCUACAUAUUGGGGCAAAGAGAUUAUUUCCUGCAUUAUUGUGGCAGUAAACUUAGAAGCUAACUUCUUCCCUUUGUUGUACAUGCUUACUGAAUGGGUCCAGUUUCAGAACCCUUCAGAUGGCAAAGAAGGGAUCCUUAAAAAUUCAUCUUGCA
This is a non-coding RNA of Thamnophis sirtalis, 556 nucleotides long. The record is from RefSeq and is a predicted model, not a curated record. NCBI's taxonomy places the organism in Eukaryota, Metazoa, Chordata, Lepidosauria, Squamata, Natricidae.